AUGCACGCUGGCGGCGUGCCUAAUACAUGCAAGUCGAGCGAACAGACGAGGAGCUUGCUCCUCUGACGUUAGCGGCGGACGGGUGAGUAACACGUGGAUAACCUACCUAUAAGACUGGGAUAACUUCGGGAAACCGGAGCUAAUACCGGAUAAUAUAUUGAACCGCAUGGUUCAAUAGUGAAAGACGGUUUUGCUGUCACUUAUAGAUGGAUCCGCGCCGCAUUAGCUAGUUGGUAAGGUAACGGCUUACCAAGGCAACGAUGCGUAGCCGACCUGAGAGGGUGAUCGGCCACACUGGAACUGAGACACGGUCCAGACUCCUACGGGAGGCAGCAGUAGGGAAUCUUCCGCAAUGGGCGAAAGCUUGACGGAGCAACGCCGCGUGAGUGAUGAAGGUCUUCGGAUCGUAAAACUCUGUUAUUAGGGAAGAACAAAUGUGUAAGUAACUAUGCGCGUCUUGACGGUACCUAAUCAGAAAGCCACGGCUAACUACGUG
This 496-nucleotide ribosomal RNA is filed under the name uncultured bacterium. Its description in RNAcentral is "partial 16S ribosomal RNA". It matches the Rfam family "Bacterial small subunit ribosomal RNA", at positions 29 to 507 of the family's 1533-position model. The record is from RNAcentral.